UAUCUUGACGGUUGUAAAUAGGCUUAUGAAAAACCUCAAACUCUGCUCCAUUUGUCUCCAACUGUCUAAUAUGGGAUGAAAUGUUCUUGGCUGUCAUGAUGAUGAAAGCGUUCCCUGCAGACAUGGAACAAAGUUCUAUGUGAGCCCCGCCCACUUUGAGUCUGAUUUAAGGAUGAGACUCAGCCUCAACCAGCACAACUUCAGCUUCAGCUGCUCUGUCUGGUCCUGCUCCAGACCGUCUUCAGAGGAAACAACUUCUCCCAGAAGUCUAAGGGAAGAAACUUUUCCUCCUUUUGCAACAAGCUCAGUCUUUUCAAGUCAACGACAACAUGCCGUACAUAGCACCAUAUAGCCUUGUUGGUGGACGAGGAGGAGACCCGUUCAGUUUUAACGGUGCACAAAAUGGAGCUGUGCUUAAAAAGCUGGAUGUGUGGGCCGGACCAACCCAAGUGAGAUGUAUAAAGAUCCAGAUGUCUGACGGAAAUGAAAGGAUGUUUGGGAGAGAGGGUGAUAAUCAUUACUCUUUCACUUUUGAGGAUGGAGAAAAAUUUUCCUCUCUCACUCUUUGGCCCAACAAUGCUGGAAAUCGUCUGGGUGGCUUUAAAUUCACAACAUCAAAGAACCGAAAUUUUGAGGCUUUUAUGACAAAUGGAAAGCCUUCGGUACCGGCAACACCAGUAAAUGUUGGCUCUGGAAUCUGUUUUGGAGUUCAGGGCAGGUCAGGAUUUGAAAUUGAUGGAUUUGGGUUCAUGUUCUUCAAAGUUUCUUAGUGAAACGGUUCUGGAGGGCUAGAUGGUGAAACAAUAACCUGUGUGGGUUCAGCUUCUUGAUGAGGACAGAAAUCAAUGUGUUUGACAGAAAUGAUUUCACCUUCUAGCCUCCAGACAAAGACAACAGCUAAUGAUAUCUGCUGUCAUGAAAAGGGUUUGGUUCUUUGAAACAAUCAGAUGACAUCUUUGAACAGAUGUGUUCCUGCUGCAUCUGUGGCUGAUGGGGACAAUCACCUCUUUGAUGGUUUUUCUUUGAUUUCUUCAUCUAGUUUGUGUUUUUUUCUUUGGACUUUUACUGCAGUUUUCUGAAUGUUUCCAUCAGAUUUUUGAAUUUGCUGUCAUUUUUCCUGCUGUACUGAGAAACUCCUGAUGAUUUUCCUGUUAUUGUCACUGGAAUCCAAUGUUUCUGUUGUCCUCAUCAUCUCUUCUGGAAAUGGCAUUCUAUCAGUAAAUCUUGUUGGUGUGGACGCUGGAAAAAGCCCUUCAGUUCAUGUCAAAUCACUGUUUGUGCUCAUCUAGUCUGUAUGAUUUGGAAAAUAAAAACCUCAACCAAA
This is a long non-coding RNA of Oryzias latipes (Japanese medaka), 1324 nucleotides long. RefSeq lists it as uncharacterized. The record is from RefSeq and is a predicted model, not a curated record. Lineage: Eukaryota; Metazoa; Chordata; Actinopteri; Beloniformes; Adrianichthyidae.